RNAcentral lists this ribosomal RNA (336 nucleotides) under Biemna sp. CC49. RNAcentral's name for it is "eukaryotic LSU rRNA". It matches the Rfam family "Eukaryotic large subunit ribosomal RNA", at positions 23 to 352 of the family's 3401-position model. The record is from RNAcentral. Lineage: Eukaryota; Metazoa; Porifera; Demospongiae; Biemnida; Biemnidae.
ACCCGCUGCCUUUAAGCAUAUUAAUAAGCGGAGGAAGAGAAACCAACCGGGAUUCCCCCAGUAACGGCGAGCGAAGCGGGAACAGUUCGCGCCUCCAAUCUCCGGCGCAGUCGCCGGCGAAUUGUGGCCGCCAGAGGUGUCCGUCGUCGAGACUCUCUGCUCCGAAGUUGACCUGGAACGGCACGUCAGAGAGGGUGAGAGCCCCGUGCGCGGAGCAGGGCGUCGCGGCUUUGGUCGCCUUCGCAGAGUCGGGUUGUUUGGGACUGCAGCCCAAAGUGGGUGGUAAACUCCAUCUAAAGCUAAAUACUGGCACGAGACCGAUAGCGAACAAGUACC